Mercenaria mercenaria is the source of this 4301-nucleotide long non-coding RNA. RefSeq lists it as uncharacterized. NCBI's taxonomy places the organism in Eukaryota, Metazoa, Mollusca, Bivalvia, Venerida, Veneridae. The transcript is spliced from 3 exons. The record is from RefSeq and is a predicted model, not a curated record.
UUAACCAAUGAACAUUAAGGUGAUUCUGCACAUUAGGAUAAUUUUUUAACGAGAUAGACUUUGAGUAAACCCCGAUACGGUCGUGUGCUUGAGUUUUAGCUAGACUGAUCUGAAAUAAAAACAAAACAGAAACCUCACGCAAUUUUUCAUAAUUGGAGCCUAUUUGAAAAUUACAAGGUUGAUAACAUUUUCCGAAUAGAUUACAUUUUUUUAAAUUACAAAAAUUGUAAUAUUGUUGUUGUAAUAAACUCACACACUUGCUGCCAUAAAUUCAUGAAAUUAUUUAAUGAUUUUCAUUUCCGUACGCCGAAUCCAGGCUUAGUUCUACGUUUUUCGGACAUAAAACUUAUGGUUUUUCAAAAGUGCAGAACUACCAAAAGGGUCGACCAGUUUAAAUUAAAAUGAUGGAAAGCAAAAGAACAUUUAAUUCAUAACUGCUGAUUUUUCAUUGCUGCAUAUUGUGACCUUAUACCUGCUUUCCAUUGUGAAACUUAAGACAGUUAAUUUAACGUUUCAUCUGCAACAAUUAAGUGAAAAUACUGAUUUCAAGGCGAGCAGUAAUACAGAUACUGUGCCGAUACCACUUUACAAAUACCAUUUUUAGCUCACAUGAAAAUUGUUCGUAUUAAGUCAUGCGGAUAUUCCAGCGUCUCUCAUCAUUUUUACUGAAAUAUCUUUUUCUCUUCUCUGAAUGUAAAAGAAUUACACCAAAUUUUGAUUGUGGCGUACUGGUGUGAAAUGUGUACAGUAUAUAAAUACCGUUUAAAAAUUCCUUCUGAUCAACCACUCGAUUAAGUUUACUCAAACUUGGUUUGAAGCAUUAUAGUAAGGCUUUUUAUGCAACCUAUUACCUGUAUUAUAAGAACUUGGCCUUGUUAGGAGAUGCAAGAUGUAAAACAUAGAAUACUAUACAGAACGUCUUUUCAUGAACUCCUUAAAGGGUCGCCAUCAAACUUGGUCUGUUGCAUUACUAUUUUAUUAGCACCCAAAAGAGUAAAAUAGAAACUAUUUUUAACAAUUGUCUCUUUUUGUUAGAUUUUAAAUCAUGAGCAAUUUCUCCUCAGAAUUAUACCAGUGUCGGUCCCGUGUGUGAAGGGUUACAUAUUUAUAGGGGACGUUCGAUUUUACUAAGUCUUAAAACAUUUGGGUAAAUUUCAAAGUAGUCAAAUUUAUAUCUUCAUUGCGUACAAAAGACCAGUCAGUGUUACGUAUGGAUUCAUUUAAAGACUCGUAAUUAACAUUAUUAUAAUUCCAGACACGCCUUUUGUAAGAUGCGUUGGUAUCGCCAAUCGCUUUAAGAUAUACGUAGCUGCCAAAAAGAUCACUAAUAUGGUUGUCGGUUUUGAGCGAAGAUAUGAUAUGUUUCUUUGUUUCCGAUGGGGGUCAAGAAGCGUUCUUGAAUCGAUUUACAGACAACUUUACGGGACUACGUACUAAGGACACUAUCAAGAAAGAUGGUAGACAUCCUCGGAAUUGUUAUAGCGGUUUUAGGUUCCAUUCUUGGAGCCGUUGUGGCAUCUCGGGAAGAAAGACAUUACAAAGCAUAUGUAGUAAAUAAAAUCCGUACAGAGAUCUUUUGGAAGCAAAUAAUGCAACCAAGAGAAAUAAUAGCAGACUCGGUUUGAUCAAGUGAGCGGCUCAUUGAAAGUCACAAAUGUAUAAUACAUGACUUACCAGACACGCAUAUAAACGUACAUUGUAUGCUAUAUCACAUAUUCUUAAUAGAGGCAUAUGUUGUCUUAAUCAUGAAUUCACGUCUAACGGCUUUGGUUUGAUUUUAACUUUACAUCAUUAUCUCAGCUAUUUUGUUAGUUCUAUGUAAACAAGAGAUUGUUAAAACAAUUUUCUAAUACAGGUUUAAUUGUGUGUUAUCACGAACUCAAGAUCAACACAUAAUCGUUAUUUCAUAUGUUUUCUGACAGACAGAAAUCGAUAAAUGGAUAUUUGUUCACAAUACAUAAUGAUAACAGCCACAUAGAAAAUGGUAAUAAGCUUUACAGCCAAAACCAAAACUUUGACCCACUUACAAUUAGAAAAAUCUUAAAAAUGUGAAUGUUAAAUAACACUUCUUAACUUGUAUUAUUCAAACGUCCAACAUUUCCUGGUUGUCUCUGAAAAAUUUCUACCACAAAAUUGAUAGCGUUUAAACAAUAUCGAAUGUUGAUACAUAUGUGCAUUUACUCAUGUUAUGGAGGGUAGAUUUAUGUGACCAUCUAUAUUUUUGGACAUUAAGAAAUUAUACAAUAACGCAGUUACUUAUUCAAAAGAAACACUUUAAUGCAACAUAAUUGAAAAACACGUCCGACACACAAUCCAACCAAUAUGACAUUUUCUACCGUCCAUACCGAGAGAGAAUAAAAGUAUAUGACUGACAAUUUUAAGCUGUAUUUUUAAAACCAAAAUUUGAAUAUUUACACUCGUUAUAAUUAUUAAAUUUAGCGUCGUGUAGAAGAAAAUUGGCAACCCUCUGUCAAUUUAGAAUGUGCUUAACACCACACAAAAACUUGCGAAUGUGCUACGUAUAUCACAGUGCUGGAAUAGCGAUUCUAAAAGCAUACAACUCCGUUACAACGAAAUGAAAAAAAUAAGUCUAAAGAAUAUAUUGUUGUUGUUUUUCUACCAUGGGAACAUGGUUUUAGAACUUUAUCAAAUGUUUCAAAGAAUUGAUUAAAACACAACGCAAUAAGAUGACAUAUUACAGUUCGGGCAGUGCUUAAGUAUUAGAAACCUGUCACCUAACAUAAAUUCAAAAACAAUACAUUUCAUUAAAGAGACAGGCUCAUUAGAAACAGUUCAAAUGAUAAAGCCCUCUCAUGAUGCAGGCUUUCUAUCCAUCUACGAUCUCCGUCAAAGUACAUCGAACAUUUCUUGAUGUUCCUGUCUUUUCUAAAUAAUCAGCUGUUUUGUAUCAGUCUGAUUUCUUUUAUUCUUUUUACAUCUUGGACGAAUUGGACUUAGCAUUUGUUACUAUAUUUCCAAGAUUCAGGAAGAAAAUUAAUCAGAACUUUAUCAGGAGCCAUGUCUUAAAUUACGCAGCCAUCCAGAUGUCUCUCUUCGCACACAAAUUUCUGUGAUUUGUCAGCAACAGUUGAAUUUGCAUUUUUCGAUUACUUUUCUGAUAUUAUUGUGUUUUUCAACCACUUUCUGAACAAUUCCAACUCAAUCAAUAAUGUUAAUAAACGUUUCCAUACUAACUAUUUUCUGUCUUUUAUUCUGUCACAACGAUGUUUUGGACGUUCAACAUACAACAGUUUCUACUGGAUAAUAAAUUCUGUAAAGAUUUUUUGAAAGCAAAGAAUGCAGUCAAAUAAAGUAAUAGCAGACUCGGUUUGAUUAAGUCCGUUCAAAUCAUUGUAAGUCAUAUGUGCCACUACAUCUUCUUUGAACAUGGAAGAAAAAUAGUCAAAAUUGUCAAAAAAGGAAAUUCAGAGAAACCUAAUUACAAUAAAGCAAGUCUAAGAAUACCUUAUUUCAACUACAUAAAUAACAAAAUUUCUAUGUAACCUCCGUAACAAAAUAUCUUCUCGCUAACCCUAACCCUAACCCUAGGGUCGCCGAAGUCACAUUUUUAAAAAAAAAUUAGUAAGAUUUUAAAUAUUACAUAAUGACGGGAACAUUACUGAAACCAGAUCAUAUUGGGUGCAGUGACUAAACAAGGACAAGUUCAAUGCAGUCGGACAAACUAUCUCACCUCCAUAACGGUAAUGUGGGAUAAUUCAAGCUCUAUAUCACUUUUCCUCAGAUAAAAUACUCAGAAAAAAUAUAUAUUUCUUGAAUCUGAGUCCGUUUUGACAUAUCUCUUUGGCCAAAUAUUCAUGUAUGAAAUUUGAAUGUUGCACUGGAAUGUAUGAACACGUUAUCGCCUCCGUAACGGACAUGUUUAAAGAGACAUAAUUAUUUCAGCGCUAUAUUUUAUGUAUAGUUUUACGUUCAAACCAAAAAAAGCAGAGAAUGCAAGGAAAUUUCUAAAGUGGGUCAAAUGUUUGGUUUUGACUGUUUAUAAUUGAUACUAGAGCCUGCAAAAACUGUUGUCUUGUUGAUGCACGUCUUAUUGUAAUUGUUUUAUUCUACUUCAACAUUUUUUAAUUUCCUUUGUUGAUAAUAUGAAGUAUUUCACAUGGGAAUAAAAAUUGUUUGAAUUUGAUAUAUGUAUCCAACUUUUCGGACUGACACUGGUGCGUUCUCGUCAAACAAUGGAGGCAUGAUAAUAAUACUUCAAUUGUUUACCUUAUUUGUGAUAUGGCUUUUGUAUAUCCAUUUCAUAUGUUUUCAUAGAAUAAAUAAAGUAGACAGAAAUUACA